GUGUCAGCAGCCGCGGUAAUACGGAGGAUGCGAGCGUUAUCCGGAUUUAUUGGGUUUAAAGGGUGCGUAGGCGGAUUACUAAGUCAGUGGUGAAAACCUUCAGCUUAACUGGAGACUUGCCAUUGAUACUGAUAGUCUUGAGUACGGUCAAGGUAGGCGGAAUGUGUAAUGUAGCGGUGAAAUGCUUAGAUAUUACACAGAACACCGAUUGCGAAGGCAGCUUACUGGGCCAUUACUGACGCUGAUGCACGAAAGCGUGGGGAGCGAACAGGAUUAGAUACCCUGGUAGUCCACGCCGUAAACGAUGAUCACUCGCUGUUGGCGAUACACAGUCAGCGGCUAAGCAAAAGCAUUAAGUGAUCCACCUGGGGAGUACGGCCGCAAGGCUGAAACUCAAAUGAAUUGACGGGG
RNAcentral lists this ribosomal RNA (411 nucleotides) under uncultured prokaryote. RNAcentral's name for it is "bacterial SSU rRNA". It matches the Rfam family "Bacterial small subunit ribosomal RNA", at positions 505 to 918 of the family's 1533-position model. The record is from RNAcentral.